GACAAGAUGUGGUGUGUGUGACCCGAGCUAGAGAGAGCCUGGAAGAGUUUAGAACAAUGCCUCAUUGUCUCAUGUUCUUGGCAUCUGGGAAACUAAGCUGGGUUGGAAGUUAAACAACAUUCUAUGCAGAUAACCAGGAGAUGGAUCAAGGUGGCUUAUUUGAAGGACAGAAAUGACCGACUAAGCAUUUUUUAGGGCCUAUAUAAGAUCUCUGUUUUUUCAUUACAAGUUAAGCACUCGGAAACACACUGCUGAUGAUUGCUUGAAUAAUUGUCCAAGUCUCUCUAAGGAAUGACAUUUACACGACACUCCUCCCCCAGGCCUAUAUUCACACAUUAACUCAACAAAAAAAAAGAAACGUCCCCUUUUCAGGACCCUGUCCUUCAAAGAUAACAGGGGGAGCGGGAUCGAUUUGGAGGUGGAGGGUCCGUCAUGGUCUGGGGCGGUGUGUCAAAGGAUCAUCGGACUGAGCUUGUUAUCAUUGAAGACAAUCUCAAAGCUAUGUGUUACAGGGAAGACAUCCUCCUCCCUAAUGUGGUACCCUUACUUGCAGGCUCAUCCUGACAUGAUCCUCCAGCAUGACAAGGCCACCAGCCAUACUGCUCGUUCUGUGCGUGAUUUUCUGCAAGACAGGAAUGUCAGUGUUCUGCCAUGGCCAGCGAAGAGCCCGGAUCUCCAUCCCAUUGAGCACUCCUGGGACCUGUUGGAUUGGAGGAGGAAGUGACACGGGACUAUGCUUAUGGCAAGAGCAACCCUCUGGUGAAGAGAUGUCGAGUGUUGCUAUGGAUACCAGCUGACUUGGAAGGGGUCAGCACUCAGACUCCUGAACCCUGUGAUCUCUACUACGAAGUAGGGAGACCUGAAACAUGUUUCAUGUGUCAAUACAGUCAGCCAAUUAAUUACUUACUCAAUGUCUUGAGGAAGUUCAUAAGUGAAAAGUCUAUACAUGAAACCUGCAGAGGAAGUCAAAUUAAUUACACUUUGAACAAUGGGUAAUGAUGUCCUCCAGUGAAUGUUUAUUUAAUUUAAAAAAUAAAUAAUUUUCUUGUUAAAGCGAUAUCCCAAGUAUAAAUACAGUAAAGUGCACACACUGAAGGGUGAAUUUUUGCUGUUGUUGUCGAACAAUUUUUUUUGUUAUUUUCACCUCCGGAUGAAAAGCGUGCCCAAAUUAAACUGCCUGCUACUCAGGCCCAUAAGCUAGGAUAUGCAUAUAAUUAGUAGAUUUGGAUAGAAAACAUUCUAAAGUUUCCAUAACUGUUAAAAUAAUGUCUGUGAGUAUAACAGAACUGAUAUGACAGGCAAAAACCUGAAAAUUCCAACCAGGAAGUACUAUUACAUUGAAAGCCUAACCACCAUACAAAGACUUAGGACCCAGUUCACGAUCUCUAUGGCUUCCUCUACAUGUGACCAGUCUUUAGGCAUUGUUUCAGGCUUUUACUCUGAAAAAUGAGGGAGAUACAGCACGUUCAAUGAGUGGACAGUGAACAUUUCCAGACAUGAGCCAAGCGCGUGAUCAGAACCGCGCCAUUCUUGUUUCUCCUUUUCUAUUGACGAAGCUUUUGUCCGGUUGAAAUAUUAUUGAUUAUUUAUGUCAAAAACAACCUGAGGAUUGAUUUUAAACAUUGUUUGACAUGUCUCUACAAACUUAUUGUACCUUUUUUAAAACUUUCCAUCUGGAUGUUGUGAGCGUGCAUUGUGCCUUUGGAUUACUGAUCUAAACGCACCAACAAAACGGAGGUUUUUGGACAUAAAGAUGAACAUUAUCGAACAAAACUAACAUUUAUAGUCGACCAUGGAAACCUGGGAGUGCCACCAGAUGAAGAUCAUCAAAGGUAAGUGAUUAAUUUGAACGCUAUUUCUGACUUUUGUGACACCUCGCCUUGGUUGGAAAAUGACUGUAUGGUUUUCUGUGGCUAGGCGCUGACCUAACAUAAUCACAUGGUGUGCUUUUGCUGUAAAGCCUUUUUGAAAUCUGACACAGCGGUUGCCUUAAGGAUAAGUUUAUCUUUAAUUAAUCCUAUGCAUAACACUUGUAUCUUAGAUCAAUGUUUAUGAUGAGUAUUUCUGUAAUUUGAUAUAGCUCUCUGAAAUUUCACCGGAUGUUUGUUUGAGACAAUGAUUACUGUACAUAACGCACCAAUUUCAACUGAGGUUUUUGGACAUAAAGAUGAACUUUAUUGAACAAAACACACAUUUAUUGUGUAACAUGAAGUCCUGUGAGUGCCAUCUGAUGAAGAUCAUCAAAGGUUAGUAAUUCAUUUAAUCGCUAUUUCUGGCUUUUGUGAGCCCUCUCCUUGGCUGGAAAAUGGCUGUAUGGUUUUCUGUGACUAGGCGUUGACCUAACAUAAUCGUUUGGUGUGCUUUCGCCGUAAAGUAUUUUUGAAAUCGGACACUGUGGUUGGAUUUACAUUAAGUUUAUCUUUAAAAUGGUGUAUAAUACUUGUAUGUCUGAGGAAUUUAAAUUAUGGGAUUUCUGUUUUGAAUUUGGCGCCCUGCAAUUUCAGUUGCUGUUGUCGAGGUGGGACGCUACCGUCCCACUGGUGCCAGACAGGUUAAGCAUGUUAACCCUCGCAAGGUUGCCGGCCCAGAUGUCCUCAGAGCAUGCACAGACCAGCUGGCUGGAGUGUUUACGAACAUAUUCAAUCUCUCCCUAUCCCAGUCUGCUGUACCCACUUGCUUCAGAAUGUCCACCAUUGUUCCUGUAACCAGAAAGCAGUGAACUAAAUGACUAUCGCCCUGUAGCACUCACUUCUGUCAUCAUUAAGUGCUUUGAGAGGCUAGGUAAGGAUCAUAUCACCUCCACCUUCCCUGACACCCUAGACCCAUUUAAAUUUGGCUUGGCACCAAAAAACCCUGAUAAAUUUUAACAGAUGCACAAUUGAGAGCAUCCGCCUGGUACGGCAACUGCACCAUCCGCAACCACAGGGCUCUCCAGCGGGUGGUGCGGCAUGCCCAACGGAUCACCGGGGGAAAACUACGUGCCUUCCAGGACACCUACUGCACCCAAUGUCACAGGAAGGCCAAAACUAUCAUCAAGGACAACAACCACCCGAGCCACUGCCUGUUCACCCCUCUAUCAUCUAGAAGGCGAGGUCAGUACAGGUGGAUCAAUGCUGGGACCGAGAGACUGAAAAACAGCUUCCAUCUCAAGGCCAUCAGACUGUUAAAUAGGGAUCACUAGGCGGCUUCCACCCGGUUACUUAUGGCCACUUUAAUAAUGGAACACUAGUCACUUUAACAUUUACAUAUUUUUGCUUUACCCAUCUCAUAUGUGUAUUCUGUAUUUAAUCUAUGCCACUGACAAUGCUCAUCCUAAUAUUUAUAUAUUCCUUUAUAUAUUCCUUUGUUAGGUUCUUAUAUUUUCAGAGUAAAUAACUCACGUAUACUAGAGAAGCUUAACCAAGUUUAAUUCUUCCCAAAGGGUCGACACAGCUGUAUUCAGACAAAAACAUGUUUCCACCACCACAAGUAUAUAUACUCCACUUUAGACACUCCUCCUUCUCUCCAAUCCUUACAUCUUAUGGUUCUACGGGAAGAGGGUAUGGUGGUAAAUUUCUUUACUAUCAAAUGAGGAGAGACAAAUGUAUCACACAAGUCAGAAUUAUACUUAAAUUAAAUCUUUAAUCACUUAUUAAUAAGGGAGCAGGUCAAUACAACGCACACAUAUAAAGUGAAUCGAUUGAGUGCGUUACGAUAAUGAUGGCUGGUCAUGGCUGGUUGACGAUUCACGAUCGGAUGAUUCGUUGAGAGUCCCGAGACAAAUGUAAAAAUGUAUUUUAUAGCCAAGAUACACCCCUUUCAACCUACAUGAUGAACAACAGAUAUAUAGAAUGGAUGACAAGGUUAAGAUUUGUAUGAAAGUUACGUACAGUUGAAGUCAGAAGUUUACAUACACUUAUGGAGUCAUUAAAACUUGUGUUUCAACCAAUCCACAAAUGUCUUAUUAACAAACUAUAGUUUUGGCAAGUCGGUUUGUGCAUGGCACAAGUCAUUUUCCCAACAAUUGUUAACAGACAUAUUAUUUCACUUAUAAUUCACUGUAUCACAAUUCCAGUGGGUCGGAAGUUUACAUACACUAAGUUGACUGUGCCUUUAAACAGCUUGGAAAAUUCCAGACAAUGAUGUCAUGACUUUAGAAGCUUCUGAUAGGCUAAUUGACAUCAUUUGAGUCAAUUGGAGGAGUACCUGUGGAUGUAUUUCAAGGCCUACCUUCAAACUCACUGCCUCUUUGCUUGACAUCAUGGGAGAAUCAAAAGAUAUCAGCCAAGACCUCAGAAUACAUUUUUUUGACCUCCACAAGUCUGGUUCAUCUUUGGGAGCAAUUUCCAAACACCUGAAGGUACAACAUUCAUCUGUACGAACAAUAGUACGCAAGUAUAAACACCAUGGGACCACGCAGCCGUCAUACCGCUCAGGAAGGAGACGCGUUCUGUCUCCUAGAGAUGAUCGUACUUUGGUGUGAAAAGUGGAAAUCAAUCCCAGAACAACAGCAAAGGACCUUGUGAAGAUGCUGGAGGAAACGGGUACAAAGUAUAUAUAUCCACAGUAAAACGAGUCCUAUAUCGACAUAAUCUAAAAGGCCACUCAGCAAGGAAGAAGCCACCGCUCCAAAACCGCCAUUAAAAAGCCAGACUACGGUUUGCAACUGCACAUGGGGACAAAGAUCGUACUUUUUGGAUAAAUUUCCUCUGGUCCGAUGAAACAAAAAUAGAACAGUUUGGCAUAAUGACUGUUGUUAUGUUUGGAGGAAAAAGGGGGAGGCUUGCAAGCCGAAGAACAUCAUCCCAACCGUGAAGUACGGGGUUGGCAGCAUCAUGUUGUGGGGGUGCUUUGCUGCAGGAGGGACUGGUGCACUUCACAAAAUAGAUGGCAUCACGAGGAAGGAACAUUAUGUGGAUUUAUUGAAGCAACAUCUCAAGACAUCAGUCAGGAAGUUAAAGCUUGGUCGCAAAUGGGUCUUCCAAAUAGACAAUGACCUCAAGAAUACUUCCAAAGUUGUGGCAAAAUGGCUUAAGGACAACUAAGUCACGGUAUUGGAGUGGCCAUCACAAAGCCCUGACCUCAAUCGUAUAGAAAAUGUGGGCAGAACUGAAAAAGAGUGUGUGAGCAAGGAGGUCUACAAACCUGACUGUUUCAACAGCUCUGUCUGGAGGAAUGGGCCAAAAUUCACCCAACUUAUUGUGGGAAACUUGUGGAAGGCUUCCAGAAAUUGUCACGCCCUGACCUUAGAGAUACCUUUUUUAUGUCUCUAAUUUGGUUUGGUCAGGGCGUGAGUUGGGGUGGGCAUUCUAUGUUUUGUGUUCUAUGUUUUCUAUUUCUGUGUGUUUGGCCUGGUGUGGUUCUCAAUCAGAGGCAGCUGUCUAUCGUUGUCUCUGAUUGAGAACCAUACUUAGAUAGCCUUUUCCCACCUGUGUUUUGUGGGCAGUUGCUUUCCGUUUUUGUCUGCAAUAUGUAAACUUCCGACUUCGACUGUAUAAUACAUAGCCGACAGUAUCUGCUGUGUCAACAGUUUUCAUUGUGUAGAGACAAGUGUCUGGCCCCGUAUAGAGCAGAAACAUUAACCCAUGCUCUGGAAUGCUCUUUAGGUUUUAUCACCCAAAAGACAUCAUAAAUCUCCUGUCAGUGUUAUCUCCCAGAGGCCCAUCCUCAGUAGGACACACACACAAUAGUUAUAAGAAUACUCUUUUCUGUUGCAUUAAACCAACCAUUUGAUGCAAUUAAAGUAUUAUUACAUAGUUUUACAAUUUUCCACCGUAAGGGUAAUAGGGUAAUGAACCAUAAUUUCUCCCUUCAGGGGAUCUGACCUGACCUCCUUACCUCAACCCUACUUUGUCUAUUCCACAGAUGUCCAUCAACUUCCCCUAUAGCAAUCCUGUGACUUCCUUCCGUCCACCCAACACAUUCCAAGCCAUCUGUCUUUCUACAGAGAACCGUUAACUUUUGACUUUAAAACCCGUUCUCUUUCACUCCUUUAUAUACUAUGCUUCUGAUCUAUCAUGUCUUUAGUUUCUCACUGUUCAAAGUUUACCCCUAGUCUAACACUUUAAUUCCAUUCUUUUACUUUUAGAUUUGUUGUGUAUUGUUCGAUAUUACUGCACUGUUGGAGCUAGAAACACAAACAUUUUGCUCGACCCACAAUAACAUCUGCUAAACAUGUGUGUGUGACAAAAUGCUCAAGUCAUUUCAAGUCCAUUUUUAUUUCAUUACCAUUAAUUAGCUAUGACAUAUCAUGCUCACAAAACCCAUUUUAACAGUGUACACAGAUGGGGGCAAGUUCCAAACAAUCUCCAUCACCUACGGUUCAUGUUCACAGAGACUGAAGAGGAGGCUGAUAUUCUUUGAACCUUCUCCCACAUCAGAGAUUGCAGGAAGUUAAGCGAGGUACGUCCUCACGUUGUGACCAUUCAGUUUCCCUGUGAGAUGGUUGUCCUAGUGUCGCAGAGGGCACGGGGGUCCAGGGGGGCGAGUGGCCACCAGAGACAUUUCACCUGCAGACCAAGAGGGAGGUGUUCAAGGCAUUUGCAGAGCUCUUCCAGGCAGCCUCGUCCCGGGCCGGGCCCCCUACGGUUUCUGUGCCUACCCCUCCUCCCAGGCCAUCUAUGCUGUAGACCCAAUGCUCAAGUGGGGCACUGGGGACAGAGGUGAACGUGUGAUGAAGCUUCAGAUCCUGGAGGUGAACUUCAGUCCAGACUGCGCCCGGGCCUGCUUCUACGACCACAUGUUCCAAACACUCUUCCUAAAUGAGGCUGAUCACUGCCCUGUCACUCAGGUCUCAUGAUGACCUCUAACCCCGGACCUCAAACCCUUCCAUAUUAUGCAGUUGAAAAGGUCCAUUUGGAAAAUGUGUAUUUCCUCUUUUUAGUGGAAUUUGAUAUUGAGUAACGGUCUGGACCAGAGGUGCCAAAUACAUUUUGCCCCAUGGGCCGCAUUCGUUCUCCACCGAGGUCUGGAGGACCGCACUUAAAAUUGACUAUAUUUCCUCUCCAUCAACAUUUGCAAAUAAAUUGUUUUUAAAUCACUUUUGGAAUGUUCUAUGGUCCCUAACUGUUGUUGUGGAAAUAUUGAAUUAAAUAUUUCUCAGAUACCGGAACUUGUGAAUUAAAAAAUACUUUAUAACAGAGCCGAGCAACUCCAUGGAAGAAC
Long non-coding RNA from Oncorhynchus keta (chum salmon), 7143 nucleotides. RefSeq lists it as uncharacterized. The record is from RefSeq and is a predicted model, not a curated record. NCBI's taxonomy places the organism in Eukaryota, Metazoa, Chordata, Actinopteri, Salmoniformes, Salmonidae. The transcript is spliced from 5 exons.